CUUUGACGCAAUGUUCCUAUUAUAUUUAUACUUUCGGUUUGAAAGGAAGUUAUGAUUAAACGGAUUUAAAUGUGACUAACUGUAACGGGAGCUAUAUAGUGCAUCACGGUCAAUACAGGCAAGGGUGAUUUCGAAUUGAUCUUUAAAGGGAAAAAUGGGUCAGGCUGAGAGCAGAAACACAGAUGCUCCUUUGACGGAUUUGAGGUCCUUUGAGAACAGAUCGGCCGCAUUCUCAGGUGUGAUGGCAGAUGUUCCUCUAACCGUGGUCGUGGAGGUCUUGCUGAACCUGCCUGCUCAUCAUGUAGUUAACGAAUGUCGUCGGGUGUGUCAUGAAUGGAAAGAGCUGGUGGACAGUGCUGCACACUGGAGUGAGCGUUGUCAGAGAGAGGGGAUUCAGCCCUGUGAUGCUUCCAGACCCCCAGUGGACUGGUGCCAGUUUUACUUUAUAACGAAGAAACGACAUAACCUGAUCAAUAAUCCAGUAGCUGUUGGUGAGUCACUAUUGAUAAUAGGUAAUGUUUUAUAAAGCAGUGCCACUGCUCUAAAAGAUAUUCGUUCAAGGGCACUAAAUGUAUCUUUUUCUAGAUGUACACAGUGUAUGAGACUGCUGUCACUUUAAGACCUUAUGCACAGAUAUUGUCUCCCAAUUAUCUAAUUAAACUGUACAUAUAACUGACUGUUACAUGAAUACACAUCAAGAUGGGCAUUCCUAGACGGAGAGAGUAUCAGCAAUAGGCUAUCUGAGAACUGAGGUGUGUUUCUACGUAAUUGCUUAUGGUGUAUGUCAAAGAAAACAUGUCAGUUUUUUAAAUUCAGUUAUCUUUUGCAGUUGAUUGUGAUUUCAGUCACUCAUCAAGCACAUCACACAACUCACAAAUAAAGCAUUGAGAUAACACAAAUACAGAACUUCACACGUACAAAAACAGAUAGCUAAACCUAAUAUCCUUUUUUAACCAUAUUACUUUUAUUUACUGAAUUUAAAGCUGCCUACGAAAUUUCACGUCUUAUCUAGCCAGGGCCCACUGGAUACCUGACAUCACUCUAGAUAUGGAUAGACCACCAGUGGAAUCAACAGCUUCUAAAAUCCCCCUUUUCAUCCGACAGUUACAGAAGAAAAUCCCUCAAAAAGAGAAACCCUGUUAAUUUCACAAGAAUGUAACUGAACGGCGCUAGCUGCAUUUAAUCUUUACCUCAGUUAAAACUGAAGUUAAAAAUUAAGUUGAAAUAAUGAUUGAUGGUUUGUUCAAGUCUAAGA
This is a long non-coding RNA of Danio aesculapii, 1255 nucleotides long. RefSeq lists it as uncharacterized. The transcript is spliced from 3 exons. Lineage: Eukaryota; Metazoa; Chordata; Actinopteri; Cypriniformes; Danionidae. The record is from RefSeq and is a predicted model, not a curated record.